This 496-nucleotide ribosomal RNA is filed under the name uncultured bacterium. RNAcentral's name for it is "partial 16S ribosomal RNA". It matches the Rfam family "Bacterial small subunit ribosomal RNA", at positions 29 to 507 of the family's 1533-position model. The record is from RNAcentral.
AUGAACGCUGGCGGCGUGCCUAAUACAUGCAAGUCGCGCGAACAGACGAGGAGCUUGCUCCUCUGACGUUAGCGGCGGACGGGUGAGUAACACGUGGAUAACCUACCUAUAAGACUGGGAUAACUUCGGGAAACCGGAGCUAAUACCGGAUAAUAUAUUGAACCGCAUGGUUCAAUAGUGAAAGUCGGUUUUGCUGUCACUUAUAGAUGGAUCCGCGCCGCAUUAGCUAGUUGGUAAGGUAACGGCUUACCAAGGCAACGAUGCGUAGCCGACCUGAGAGGGUGAUCGGCCACACUGGAACUGAGACACGGUCCAGACUCCUACGGGAGGCAGCAGUAGGGAAUCUUCCGCAAUGGGCGAAAGCUUGACGGAGCAACGCCGCGUGAGUGAUGAAGGUCUUCGGAUCGUAAAACUCUGUUAUUAGGGAAGAACAAAUGUGUAAGUAACUAUGCACGUCUUGACGGUACCUAAUCAGAAAGCCACGGCUAACUACGUG